This 119-nucleotide ribosomal RNA is filed under the name Lepisosteus oculatus (spotted gar). Lineage: Eukaryota; Metazoa; Chordata; Actinopteri; Semionotiformes; Lepisosteidae. The record is from RNAcentral.
AUUAGCAGCCAUGUCACUCUACAACUCACAACUGGCAGCCCACUGAAGCUAAGCAGGUGUGAGCCUGGUCAGUACCUGGAUGGGAGACCUUCUGGGAAAAACUAAGGCUGCUGCUGGAA